AACGAACGCUGGCGGCAUGCCUAACACAUGCCAGUCGAACGAGGCCUUCGGGUCUAGUGGCGCACGGGUGCGUAACGCGUGGGAACCUGCCCUUAGGUUCGGAAUAACUCCCCGAAAGGGGUGCUAAUACCGGAUAAUGUCUUCGGACCAAAGAUUUAUCGCCUUUGGAUGGGCCCGCGUUGGAUUAGCUAGUUGGUAGGGUAAAAGCCUACCAAGGCGACGAUCCAUAGCUGGUCUGAGAGGAUGAUCAGCCACACUGGGACUGAGACACGGCCCAGACUCCUACGGGAGGCAGCAGUGGGGAAUAUUGGACAAUGGGCGAAAGCCUGAUCCAGCAAUGCCGCGUGAGUGAUGAAGGCCUUAGGGUUGUAAAGCUCUUUUACCCGGGAUGAUAAUGACAGUACCGGGAGAAUAAGCUCCGGCUAACUCCGUG
RNAcentral lists this ribosomal RNA (433 nucleotides) under uncultured bacterium. Its description in RNAcentral is "partial 16S ribosomal RNA". It matches the Rfam family "Bacterial small subunit ribosomal RNA", at positions 29 to 507 of the family's 1533-position model. The record is from RNAcentral.